Molecule: ribosomal RNA, 460 nt
Filed under: uncultured bacterium
Lineage: Bacteria
Description: partial 16S ribosomal RNA
Rfam family: Bacterial small subunit ribosomal RNA
Source: RNAcentral
CCUACGGGUGGCAGCAGUGAGGAAUCUUGGUCAAUGGACGAGAGUCUGAACCAGCCAAGUAGCGUGAAGGAUGACUGCCCUAUGGGUUGUAAACUUCUUUUAUAAAGGAAUAAAACGAGGCACGUGUGCCUUUUUGCAUGUACUUUAUGAAUAAGGAUCGGCUAACUCCGUGCCAGCAGCCGCGGUAAUACGGAGGAUCCGAGCGUUAUCCGGAUUUAUUGGGUUUAAAGGGAGCGUAGAUGGGUUGUUAAGUCAGUUGUGAAAGUUUGCGGCUCAACCGUAAAAUUGCAAUUGAUACUGGCAGUCGUGAGUACAGUUGAGGUAGGCGGAAUUCGUGGUGUAGCGGUGAAAUGCAUAGAUAUCACGCAGAACCCCGAUUGCGAAGGCAGCAUACCGGCGCCCUACUGACGCUGAGGCACGAAAGUGCGGGUAUCGAACAGGAUUAGAUACCCUUGUAGUC